GUUGAAUUCUACUUAUGAGGCAAAGAAGCAUUUGUGGGAACGUUUCUUUGGAUACUUUUCUCCUAUUCUGGAAAAUAAUCAUAUUAUAGCCAUUCCUAUUUUGAAAAAGGUUGUUUCAGUCCAAGAUUGGCAUGUAAUUAACUUUCUUGUGGAAAAAAUUGGGUAUGGCUUUGGCGCCACUUUUACCUCCUCUAUUGUGACCAAUGCACCAUCCACAUCCACAACCAACUCCACUCCUCCAUCCAUCACGGUAAAACAAAGAUGUGGCAAAACCUUCAGAAGAUGGCUGCUUGGCAGAGGCUCCGCCUUUGCCAGAUUGAGGACUUCGAUGAUUGAUUUGCUUCUUAGGGUCUGGCUCUUGAGACUGAUUUGUGUUGAAAUUUGUGUAUAUAUAUACAUGAUGUAGCCUGAGGGGAACAACAUCCGAAAAAAGCUAC
RNAcentral lists this long non-coding RNA (437 nucleotides) under Prunus dulcis (almond). RNAcentral describes it as "sRNA ncRNA". The record is from RNAcentral. Lineage: Eukaryota; Viridiplantae; Streptophyta; Magnoliopsida; Rosales; Rosaceae.